RNAcentral lists this ribosomal RNA (520 nucleotides) under uncultured bacterium. RNAcentral's name for it is "bacterial SSU rRNA". It matches the Rfam family "Bacterial small subunit ribosomal RNA", at positions 380 to 895 of the family's 1533-position model. The record is from RNAcentral.
CACCUGAUCAGCAUGCCGCGUGUGUGAAGAAGGCCUUCGGGUUGUAAAGCACUUUUGUCCGGAAAGAAAACGCCGUGGUUAAUACCCGUGGCGGAUGACGGUACCGGAAGAAUAAGCACCGGCUAACUACGUGCCAGCAGCCGCGGUAAUACGUAGGGUGCAAGCGUUAAUCGGAAUUACUGGGCGUAAAGCGUGCGCAGGCGGUCCGCUAAGACAGAUGUGAAAUCCCCGGGCUUAACCUGGGAACUGCAUUUGUGACUGGCGGGCUAGAGUAUGGCAGAGGGGGGUAGAAUUCCACGUGUAGCAGUGAAAUGCGUAAAGAUGUGGAGGAAUACCGAUGGCGAAGGCAGCCCCCUGGGCCAAUACUGACGCUCAUGCACGAAAGCGUGGGGAGCAAACAGGAUUAGAUACCCUGGUAGUCCACGCCCUAAACGAUGUCAACUAGUUGUCGGGUCUUCAUUGACUUGGUAACGUAGCUAACGCGUGAAGUUGACCGCCUGGGGAGUACGGUCGCAAGAUU